GGAAAGUAUCUUGAAAGGUGUAUGUUGAUCAAAUAUCUGAAAGAAUAAGUAAAACUCAAAACACAAUGUGCAUCAUAUUACUAAUCCAGCAACUGAAGAAAAUUUAUUUACCUGUGAAUUCGCUGGAGAGAAGGAAGUGAACAUAGCUGUAUCUGCCGCUUUGGAAGCCCAAAAAUUGUGGAUGGUAAAAAGCGACCUAGAAAGAAUGCCGAUUUUAAAAAAAAGCUGCAGACUUCCUUGGUGAGAGAGACGAUCAGCUCGCUUUAAUGGAGUGCAUAAAUACAGGAAGACCAAUUCAGAAACUUUGAGAGUUGAUAUUGUUACUGCUCGAAGAUGUCUUGAAUAUUUUUCUGGAUUAUCAAAUACGAUAGCUCUUAAUGGGAGGCUGGUCGAUUUGCUUAAAGGAAAUUUUGGUUAUACUCGACGUGAGCCUCUAGGCGUUAUUGGUGCUAUCGGAGCCUGGAUUUAUCCUAUCCAAGGUUCCGUCUGGAAGUCUACACCGGCACUGGCCUGUGGUAAUUCCAUUAUUUUCAAACCGGCAGAAGAUACUCCUUCGACAGCCCUGAAACUCGCAGAAAUGCAAGGAAUUUUCAUUAGCCAGCUAUUCCACAAAAACAAUUUAUUUAUGAAAGCUACCUGGAAGCUGGCUUACCUCCUGGCUGCUUUAACGUUGUCUUGGGCGCAGCACAAACGGGACAACUACAUUGCCAACACAAGGAUAUUGCAGAAGCCACUUAAUUGGUUUUUAAUAAAGUUACAAGUCAAAAACUCUAGGAAAGCAAAUCAUAAAAAACAGUGCAGAUACCUUGAAGAGGGUCACGGUGGAGCUCGGGGGAAAGUCUCCUUUAAUAAUCUUUGAAGACACUGACCUGGAAGUGACGGUCUCUGCAGCAAUGCUAGCUAACUGGUUGGUUAACUUCGCCCUUCACACUUGCUUUUGCGCCUUUUUUUUUUAAAUACAGGUUUUCGGUGGGAGAAGUGUGUUCGAAUGGCACGCGCGUUUUUGUCACUCGAAAACUUCACUCAGCGUUUUCCGAGAGCUUUAAGCAGAGGACAGCUACAUUAAAAAUAGGAGAGCCCGAGGAUCUCGAGACGGAAGUCGGGGCCUUGAUCAACAGAAAGCACAUGGAAAAGUUUUAAACUACAUAGAAGAAGGAAAACGAGCAGGGAAACACUUUAGAUAGGCUUAGUAGUAGUCGUAUUAGGCGUCUCUAAUUUACACAGGAGCGACUCUAAUCUACGGUGGAGUGCGGGUAGCCUCUAAAGGUUGUUCUGCCGGUAACAAAACAAGUAUAAAAGCAGCGUUUACGGCUUCAGGAUGUUUCAUGGCCCCCGCCAUCUUCGACCACUGUACUGAUGCGAUGAAGAUUGUGCGAGAAGAAAUCUUUGGGCCCGUAGUAUGUGAGCGAUACAGAGCCCUUAGUUUAGAAAGUGGAAAAAGAGCUUUGAAACAAAAACUAAUGUUAGGCCUGCAUUUUGCCGUUUGAGACAGAAGACGAGGUGAUUCAAAGAGCUAACCACACGCCCUACGGACUUUCCGCGGGAGUGUUUACUCGAGACCUAUCGAGAGCCCACCAAGUUGCAAAACGGUUAAAAGCCGGAAAUGCUA
This is a long non-coding RNA of Zophobas morio, 1609 nucleotides long. RefSeq lists it as uncharacterized. The record is from RefSeq and is a predicted model, not a curated record. The transcript is spliced from 10 exons. Lineage: Eukaryota; Metazoa; Arthropoda; Insecta; Coleoptera; Tenebrionidae.